This 7531-nucleotide long non-coding RNA is filed under the name Triticum aestivum (bread wheat). RNAcentral's name for it is "long non-coding RNA (TAES_LNC018938)". Lineage: Eukaryota; Viridiplantae; Streptophyta; Magnoliopsida; Poales; Poaceae. The record is from RNAcentral.
AGCAACAAACAUUUCCACCACAACAGCCAUAUCCGCAGCCGCAACCAUUUCCAGCGCAACAACCAUAUCCGCAGCCGCAACUAUUUCCACAGCCGCAACCUUUUCCGCCACAACUUCCAUAUCCGAAGCCGCAACCAUUUCCCCCACAACAACCAUAUCCACAACCGCAAACACAGCAUCUGCAACCACAACAACCAAUUUCGCAGCAACAAGCACAACAACAACAACAACAACAACAACAAAUCCUUCAACAAAUCCUUCAACAAAUUCUGCAACAACAACAACUGAUUCCAUGCAGGGAUGUCAUCGUCUUGCAACUACACAACAUAGCGCAUGAAAGCUCACAAGUAUUGCAGCAAAGUAGUUACCAAGUGUUGCAACAAUUAUGUUGUCAGCAGUUGUGGCAGAUCCCCGAGCUGUCGCGGUGCCAAGCCAUCCACAAUGUCGUUCAUGCUAUUAUUCUGCAUCAACAACAACAACAACAACAACAAGAACAACAUCAACCGUCGAGCCAGGUCUCCUACCAGCAGCCUCAGUAACAAUAUCCAUCAGGCCAGGGCUCCUUCCAGCCAUCUCAGCAAAAUCCACAGGCCCAGGGCUUUGUCCAACCUCAACGUCUGCCCCAGCUCAAGGAAAUAAGGAACCUAGCGCUGCAGACGCUACCAGCAAUGUGCAAUGUCUACAUCCCUCCAUAUUGCUCGACCACCAUUGCGCCAUUUGGCAUCUUCGGUACUAACUGAGAAGAGAAGAACUCUAGUACUAGAUAUAUGAAACACCGUGUUCUUAGUCCAUGGUUUGGUCGUUGUACCGUUGAAAAUAUAAGGUGACAUGCACUAUCAUGUAAGAACCCGAACUAUACUAGUUCAAACUUGGGAAUAAAAGACAAACACAUGUCUUGUCUGCAUAUGAUUGUUUAUUUGAGUUCCAUUCCUGUGCCCAUUCACAAGUUCACCCCUAAUUAUAUAUAUUACACAUUAAGUAGAUAUUUAUGUUGCAUUAAUCUGAAGAUAACAAAAUGAGUCUGAAACUUGAAUUAAAUUGAAGUAUUUUCUUGGACUUUCAAAUUGUGUAUUAUUAAAGUAGUAAGGACUAUCCACAUCCUUGGCUUGCCCUUGAUCAAUUAUUCCCAGAGAAGCUUUCAGUUCAUAAAUCAAUUACAUUGAUUUUUGUGAAUGGUACAUCUCCUCAUCACGAGUAUCAUUACAGCUACUCCAAAUCGCCCACAUAACCGAAGCAUUAAUAGCGCCCUUCUUGCAUCCGGAAAUAUGGAUCGAAGAUAUCACUUGACCAUGUUUCCAGGUGCAACCUUGGGAUUUUUAUGUCAAAAUAUUCUCAAGCAGAAUCCAAGAAUAAACUUGCAUGCUCACGUGUGAUGAGGGCAGAUGAAGUAACAUUUCCUCCCCAUGGCCAGACAUAGGGCACACACAUAACCCCAUCACAUGCCUUUUUAGUUAUGCAUAUGAAAGGUAGGAUGUUUUUAAUUACUCUCCACCAAAAUACUCUUAACUUGGCUUGUACCCUAAGAUUUCGUUGCCUUUUCAAUUGUUCUUCCCCAUUAGACAAACUAGACAGUCCAUCUACCACACCGUACCUUGUGUCCAUCAUUGCUCUGUACAACAAUUGAACAGAACAAAUGUCAUUUCUUUACGAUACCCACGACCAAAUGUCCCCUGUGGAUUGUUUGGUCGUGGCAUAUUAAGGAUGGCCACCUCAUCUCAUGGGGUAAACACCUAAUGAAUGAAAGGAUUGUUCUAGUCGCCCGUGUUUUUCAUCGAUAAGAUCAUCUACAAGUUGGACCGGAGUUUCUCACAUGCAUCAUAGUGGUUUCAUUAGCGGUGUGCCCUGCACCCAUUUAUCACGUUGUAUCUCUGUAGUAUGUGCAUUCCCAAUUUGUCACAGCAUACCCUCCUUCAAACCUUCUUGCCCUUUCAGAUUAGCACGCCAAGUUAGCUAUGCACUAUGCGGGACCAGCAUUUGAAAAAAAAGAAUCUCAUUUCAUGGUAUCUUCCAUGGAGGACCCUCGUACAUGAGCUAUCUAGGUAGAAAUAGCCAUGUAUGUUUAGCAAACUUUGCAUAAGUGAAUAGAUCAAGGUCGUGGAACCCCAAGCCUCCAAUUACACACGGCCUCUCUACCAAUAAGAUCUCCAAAGACAUCAAGGAUACAGACAGCCAAAAAAGAAAAAAAGAAAAAAUACCCUGCCAUGGUGAUCAAUCACAAGCAUCAGCAGCACUCUAACCACCACCAAAGACAACGCCCAGAUUACAAAAAAAAAUUUAUCCAAAAACAAUGCCCCCAAGAAGGAAACAAUACACAAGCGUUGUCAUUGCCCGAUCGAAGAUCGUGGGUUUUCACCCUGGGAAUUUUUUGAGUUCACCCAAAAACAAGGCCAUUGCCAAGUACAACAAAUAUGGUCGAGACCUUGGGUUUUCACCCUAGGAACUGAGACUCGAUGCUCGAGGAGUACCAACAAAAAUGCAGUCCACUAGUGUUGCCGCCCCCACUUGGCGAGGCCACUGUUGCAAGUCACCAAACACCUGGCAUAUAGUUGUCAUCGCAUCCAAUACACCCUUCGGCCGAAGCUUCAAGACCUUGAUCCGUCUCCAACGUGUCUAUAAUUUUUGAUUGUUCCAUGCUAUUAUAUUAUCUGUUUUGGAUGUUUUAUAUGCAUUAUUAUGCUAUUUUAUAUGAUUUUUGGGACUAACCUAUUAAACUAGAGCCCAGUGUCAGUUCCUGUUUUUUCCUUGUUUUAGAGUUUCGUAGAAAAGGAGUACCAAACGGAGUCCAAAUGGAAUUAAACUUUUGCGAUGAUUUUUCUUAGACCAGAAGACAUCUAGAGGACUUGGAGUGCACGUUAGGAAAGCCACGAGGCGGCCACAACGACAGAGGCGCGCCCCCACCCUUGUGGGCCCCUCGUGACUCUACCGACAUAUUUCUUCCGCCUAUAUAUUCUCAAAUAUUCCAAAACAUACUAGGAGAGCCACAAAAACACUUUUCCACCGCCGCAACCUUCUGUACCCGUGAGAUCCCAUCUAGGGGCCUUUCCCGGCAUCCUGUCGGAGGGGGAUUCGAUCACUGAGGGCUUCUACAUCAACACCAUUGCCUCUCCGAUGAAGCGUGAGUAGUUUACCACAGACCUAUGGGUCCAUAGCUAGUAUCUAGAUGGCUUCUUCUCUCUCUUUGAUUCUCAAUACCAUGUUCUCCUCGAUGUUCUUGGAGAUCUAUUCGAUGUAAUACUAUUUUUGCGGUGUGUUUGCCGAGAUCCGAUGAAUUGUGGAUUUAUGAUCAGGUUAUCUAUGAAUAUUAUUUGAAUCUCCUAUGAAUUCUUAUAUGCAUGAUUUGAUAUCUUUGCAAGUCUCUUCGAACUAUCGAUUUGGUUUGGCCAACUAGAUUGGUUUUUCUUGCAAUGGGAGAAGUGCUUAACUUUGGGUUCAUUCAUGCGGUGCUCGAUCCCAGUGACAGAAGGGGAUGAUACGUCUCCAGCGUAUCUAUAAUUUUUGAUUGUUCCAUGCUAUUAUAUUAUCAACCUUGGAUGUUUUAUAUGCAUUUAUAUGCUAUUUUAUAUGAUUUUUGGGACUAACCUAUUAACCUAGAGCCCAGUGCUAGUGCCAGUUUCUGUUUUUUUCCUUGUUUUAGGGUUUCGAAGAAAAGGAAUAUCAAAUGGAGUCCAAAUGGAAUGAAACCUUCAGAAAAGUUAUUUUUGGAAAGAAAGUAAUACGGGAGACUUGGAGUGCACAUCUGGGGAUCAACGAGGAAGCCACGAGGCAGGGGGGCGCGCCCACCCCCCUUGGGCGUGCCCUCCACCCUCGUGGGCCCCUCGUGGCUCCCCAAAUGUAUUUCUUCCGCCUAUAUAUAUCCAUAUACCCCAAAACAAUUGGGGAGCACAAUAGAUCGGGAGUUCCGCCGCCAGAAGCCUCCGUAGCCACCGAAAGCUAAUCUAAACCCGUUCCGGCACCCUGCCGGAGGGGGAAUCCCUCUCCGGUGGCCAUCUUCAUCAUCCCGGUGCUCUCCAUGACGAGGAGGGAGUAGUUCUCCCUCGGGGCUGAGGGUAUGUACCAGUAGCUAUGUGUUUGAUCUCUCUCUCUCUCUCUCUCUCUCUCUCGUGUUCUUGAGGUGAUACGAUCUUGAUGUAUCGCGAGCUUUGCUAUUAGAGUUGGAUCUUAUGUUUCAUCUCCCCCUCUACUCUCUUGUAAUAGAUUGAGUUUCCCCUUCGAAGUUAUCUUAUCGGAUUGAGUCUUUAAAGAUUUGAGAACACUUGAUGUAUGUCUUGCCGCGCGUAUCUGUGGUGACAAUGGGAUAUCAUGUUAUUCACUUGAUGUAUGUUUUGGUGAUCAACAUGCGGGUUCCGCCCAUGAACCUAUGCAUAGGGGUUGGCACACGUUUUCGUCGUGAUUCUCCGGUAGAAACUUUGGGGCACUCUUUGAGGUUCUAUGUGUUGGUUGAAUAGAUGAAUCUAGAUUGUGUGAUGCAUAUCGUAUAAUCAUACCCACGGAUACUUGAGGUGACAAUGGAGUAUCUAGGUGACAUUAGGGUUUUGGUUGAUUUGUGUCUUAAGGUGUUAUUCUAGUACGAACUCUAGGGCUGUUUGUGACACUUAUAGGAAUAGCCCAAUGGAUUGAUUGGAAAGAAUAACUUUGAGGUGGUUUCGUACCCUACCAUAAUCUCUUCGUUCGUUCUCCGCUAUUAGUGACUUUGGAGUGACUCUUUGUUGCAUGUUGAGGGAUAAUUAUGUGAUCUAAUUAUGUUAUUAUUGUUGAGAGAACUUGCACUAGUGAAAGUAUGAACCCUAUGCCUUGUUUCAACGCAUUGCAAUACCGUUUACGCUCACUUUUAUCAUUAGUUACCUUGCUGUUUUUAUAUUUUCAAAUUACAAAAACCUUUAUCUACCAUCCAUAUACCACUUGUAUCACCAUCUCUUCGCCGAACUAGUGCACCUAUACAAUUUACCAUUGUAUUGGGUGUGUUGGGGACACAAGAGACUCUUUGUUAUUUGGUUGCAGGGUUGCUUGAGAGAGACCAUCUUCAUCCUACGCCUCCUACGGAUUGAUAAACCUUAGGUCAUCCACUUGAGGGAAAUUUGCUACUGUCCUACAAACCUCUGCACUUGGAGGCCCAACAACGUCUACAAGAAGAAGGUUGUGUAGUAGACAUCAAGCUCUUUUCUGGCGUCGUUGCCGAGGAGGUGAGUGCUUGAAGGUAUAUCUUUAGAUCUUGCAAUCGAAUCUUUUUGUUUCUUGUUUUAGCACUAGUUUAGUUUAUAAAAGAAAACUACAAAAAAAUGGAAUUGAGUUUACCUCACACGCUUCAUCUUUUUAAUAUCUUUCGUGAGUAUGAUGGAAAGAAAAAUUGUGCCAAAGUGUUAGAAGAAGAAUGCAUUAAAAUGUUUGGCAUUAAAUAUUUGAAUGAUGAGCAUUAUUGCAAUGUUGUUAGUAUGAAUUCCUUGAAUAUCCAUAGUACUAAUGAUGAUUGCACUAGUUAUGAUGAAAAUGUCUCAUGUAAACAUGUCAAUUUUUGUGGAGUGCAUUGGGUUUGCAAGUACACACCAAUUAGGGAAGAUAGAUUUUGCAAGAGGCAUAAGUACUUAGAAACUAAAUUGUUGCAAGAAAGGCUAGAUGAAUGUGCUGAAAAUUUAAAUUUUCUUGGCCAUACUUGUGAGCUUUGCAAUGAACAUGGUCAUUUAACCAUCCAAUGCAAAUUGUUUCAUGAUCUAAUCGUUUCCAAAAAUUGUGAUGACUUGAUUUCCCUUGCACAUCAUAAUGAACGUAGUUUGCUUAUGGGUUAUGAAGAAAUGAAACGUAUAACUAACUAUCUUCCAGUAUUUGCCCGUGAUAAACUUCUUGGCUUUGAUCUAGAGGAAAUUUAUAUGUAUUGUGCGGUGAAUUGCAUUGAAAACCCCUAUAUUUUUUGAAAACCCCUAUAUUGCCAAUUACAUAAAGAAAAGAAAACAAAUAGAGGAUGAAUAGAAUACUAAUGAAAGGGAAGAGACCUCCCAAUAUCCUCCUAUUAUUUCUUAUGAUGAACCAGGUAACGAGGAGGAGCCUCCUAUUCAACCAAUCUCAUUAAUAAGGAGCUCCAAAAAGAGGAUUGAACCCACACACGAUGUAGUGAAGAAGAAGAAAAGAAAGAGGAAGAGAGGUAAAAAGAUAUCUCUCCCAAAUAAUGCUGCUCCUAUUACUAUUGUGCCUCAUGAAAAUAUAAUUGUGGAAGAUAAUGAUACUUCUUAUGAUCUUGAAAAUCCUUUUGGCACUUGCUUGGAAGAAUAUGAUAAUUGCUAUACUAUUGGUGCUAUCCAUACUAUUAAUGAUGAGAGUGAUUAUGCUUAUGAUAUGAAAAGGCCCAAGCUUUGGGAUGCUAUGUUUGAUGAAGAUGAUGUUUUUGAGAAUAUAUUUGCUACAAUUAAUGUUUGUCCCAAGCUUGGGGAUGCUACGUUUAAUCAAGAUGAUAUUUUUAGUCUCCCAAGUUUUGAUAUGCAAAUUUACACUACUGGAAUCAGCUACUUUGCCAUCUGCCAGCUCUUUGCUGUCCGCUAGCGGACGGCAAAGAAGCUCUUUGCCAUCAGCUACCAAAAAGCAGACGGCAACGAACUGGCUGAUGGCAAAGACCUUCUUUGCCAUCAGCCAGUUCUUUGCCGUCUGCUAGCGGACGGCAAAGAUUCUUUGCCGUCGGCUAGCAGACGGCAAAGAGGGAGGGGGGACCCACUGACGAGCUGGUUAAAAAAAACUUAAUGCCCCCCUCUUUGCCGUCUGCUAGCAGACGGCAAAGAGUAAGUAAGCGGACGGCAAAGGGGGGCGGACGGCAACCGUUUAGGUUACUAACGGCGCCCCACCCUGCCCGGCCCAUCUCUCUCUGUUCCCUCUCCUCCCCGACGACCACCGCCACNNNNNNNNNNNNNNNNNNNNNNNNNNNNNNNNNNNNNNNNNNNNNNNNNNNNNNNNNNNNNNNNNNNNNNNNNNNNNNNNNNNNNNNNNNNNNNNNNNNNGUCUUGUCGGUGGUGUACUUGGUGCUUGAGGUUCUGAUCCGGGGGUGCAUGCGUCCACGGUAACACUGCAUGGUGCGUAGAGGCGAUAACUUGGGCGGUGCUGGGCAUCGGGAUCAGGAGCGUGCUCACGCGGUUCCUCCUCUUCGCUGGCAGAGGUGACGCCGGUUGAAGGAGAGGAAACAGCGGCGCGAUGCAUGGGCUUGGCGAGGCGGGUACCGCGUGGGAAGGACGGAGUCAAGGAGCAUCGGCGAGCGGGACUUGGCGAAGGGCGACGCGACAAAGGACUUGGCGCAGAGAAGGCACUUCUCGUCGUCCUCCCGCUCGAUGCAGAGGAGGCAACGGCGCUAGUCUGCGGGGCUCCGACGGGAGAGUCUUGAGGCGCAGGGGUGGCGCGCUUGAGCAAAUCCGACUGGGACGGGGCACCGGAAAAGGGACGGCGACAGCUUGGCGAAACUUGGGGACGAACUCGCGGCGACGAGGCGUCUCGUGCAGAGAACGAGCGGGCCAGGCAGGGAACCCAGCGCCCGAUGGCGCGGCGACGGACUUGGUACAAG